GUGGUUUAAUUCGAUGCUACGCGAGGAACCUUACCCGGGCUUGAAUUGCAACUGACUGAACCGGAAACGGNUCUUCCUUCGGACAGAUGUGAAGCGAUGCUGCAUGGUUGUCGUCAGCUCGUGCCGUGAGGUGUCGUCUUANGUGCUAUAACGAGCGCAACCCUUAUUGUUAGUUACUAUCAGGUCAUGCUGAGGACUCUAUUGAGACUGCCGUCGUAAGAUGUGAGGAAGGUGGGGAUGACGUCAAAUCAGCACGGCCCUUACGUCCGGGGCUACACACGUGUUACAAUGUGGGGUACAGAAGGGAGCUACACGGCGAGGGGUGCUAAUCUCCAAAGCCACUCUCAGUUCGGAUUGGAGUCUGCAACCCGCCUCCCUGAAGCUGGAUUCGCUAGUAAUCGCGCAUCAGCCACGGCGCGGG
This 421-nucleotide ribosomal RNA is filed under the name uncultured Bacteroidaceae bacterium. RNAcentral describes it as "bacterial SSU rRNA". It matches the Rfam family "Bacterial small subunit ribosomal RNA", at positions 941 to 1363 of the family's 1533-position model. Lineage: Bacteria; Pseudomonadati; Bacteroidota; Bacteroidia; Bacteroidales; Bacteroidaceae. The record is from RNAcentral.